CGUAGGUGGCAAGCGUUGUCCGGAUUUAUUGGGUUUAAAGGGUGCGUAGGCGGUCUUCUAAGUCAGUUGUGAAAUACUUCAGCUUAACUGGAGAGGUGCAAUUGAUACUGGGAGGCUUGAGUACUGAUGAGGUAGGCGGAAUGGACGGUGUAGCGGUGAAAUGCUUAGAUAUCGUCCAGAACACCGAUAGCGAAGGCAGCUUACUAAGGAGUAACUGACGCUGAGGCACGAAAGUGUGGGGAUCAAACAGGAUUAGAUACCCUGGUAGUCCACACUGUAAACGAUGAUUACUCGAUGUUGGCGAUACACAGCCAGCGUCUUAGCGAAAGCGAUAAGUAAUCCACCUGGGGAGUACGCCGGCAACGGUG
This 368-nucleotide ribosomal RNA is filed under the name uncultured organism. Its description in RNAcentral is "bacterial SSU rRNA". It matches the Rfam family "Bacterial small subunit ribosomal RNA", at positions 526 to 896 of the family's 1533-position model. The record is from RNAcentral.